CCUACGGGGGGCUGCAGUAAGGAAUAUUGGUCAAUGGACGAAAGUCUGAACCAGCCAUGCCGCGUGGAGGAUGAAGGUCCUCUGGAUUGUAAACUUCUUUUAUAUGGGACGAAAAAAGGCCUUUCUAGGCCGUCUGUCGGUACCAUAUGAAUAAGCACCGGCUAACUCCGUGCCAGCAGCCGCGGUAAUACGGAGGGUGCCGGAUUUAUCCGGAUUCACUGGGGUUAAGGGGUGCGGAGGUGGGAUUGUAGAAAGCUCCGAGCUUAACUUGGAAACUGCCAUUGAUACUAUUAAUCUUGAAUAUUGUGGAGGUUAGCGGAAUAUGUCAUGUAGCGGUGAAAUGCUUAGAUAUGACAUAGAACACCAAUUGCGAAGGCAGCUGGCUACACAUAUAUUGACACUGAGGCACGAAAGCGUGGGGAUCAAACAGGAUUAGAUACCCUUGUAGUC
This 450-nucleotide ribosomal RNA is filed under the name uncultured bacterium. Its description in RNAcentral is "partial 16S ribosomal RNA". It matches the Rfam family "Bacterial small subunit ribosomal RNA", at positions 338 to 795 of the family's 1533-position model. The record is from RNAcentral.